GUUUGGUGGAACUUUUAAUUGGGUUGAUUGGUUUUAAUUGCCUUUUGCAUCAUGCUAUAUGGAUGUGGUUAGUAUA
RNAcentral lists this ribosomal RNA (76 nucleotides) under Spirometra erinaceieuropaei. Its description in RNAcentral is "partial 16S ribosomal RNA". The record is from RNAcentral. Lineage: Eukaryota; Metazoa; Platyhelminthes; Cestoda; Diphyllobothriidea; Diphyllobothriidae.